CGCUGUGACUCCUACGGGAGGCAGCAGUGGGGAAUAUUGCACAAUGGGGGAAACCCUGAUGCAGCCAUGCCGCGUGUGUGAAGAAGGCCUUCGGGUUGUAAAGCACUUUCAGUAGGGAGGAAGGUAGUGUAGUUAACACCUGCACUAUUUGACGUUACCUACAGAAGAAGCACCGGCUAACUCCGUGCCAGCAGCCGCGGUAAUACGGAGGGUGCGAGCGUUAAUCGGAAUUACUGGGCGUAAAGCGCAUGCAGGCGGCCUGUUAAGUCAGAUGUGAAAGCCCGGGGCUUAACCUCGGAAUUGCAUUUGAAACUGGCAGGCUAGAGUCUUGUAGAGGGGGUAGAAUUUCAGGUGUAGCGGUGAAAUGCGUAGAGAUCUGAAGGAAUACCAGUGGCGAAGGCGGCCCCCUGGACAAAGACUGACGCUCAGAUGCGAAAGCGUGGGGAGCAAACAGGAUUAGAUACCCUGGUAG
Molecule: ribosomal RNA, 472 nt
Filed under: uncultured bacterium
Lineage: Bacteria
Description: bacterial SSU rRNA
Rfam family: Bacterial small subunit ribosomal RNA
Source: RNAcentral